This 75-nucleotide transfer RNA is filed under the name Desulfuromonadales bacterium. RNAcentral's name for it is "tRNA-Gln". It matches the Rfam family "tRNA". Rfam says of the family: Transfer RNA (tRNA) molecules are approximately 80 nucleotides in length. The record is from RNAcentral. Lineage: Bacteria; Pseudomonadati; Thermodesulfobacteriota; Desulfuromonadia; Desulfuromonadales.
AGGGGCGUCGCCAAGCGGUAAGGCACCAGAUUUUGAUUCUGGCAUACACAGGUUCGAUCCCUGUCGCCCCUGCCA